This is a long non-coding RNA of Leucoraja erinaceus (little skate), 2641 nucleotides long. RefSeq lists it as uncharacterized. The record is from RefSeq and is a predicted model, not a curated record. The transcript has 4 exons. NCBI's taxonomy places the organism in Eukaryota, Metazoa, Chordata, Chondrichthyes, Rajiformes, Rajidae.
UUCUCUAGCCAUUUGCUUUUAAAAAUCACAAUCACAUUUUUGCAAUGCGUUCCUGAAAAAUAAUUUUCCAUCAAUGCUGUUUGUCUGUUUUAUGUUCUUGCACCUUUCAGCUGUUAAUGGUAUAAAUCCUGGCAUUUUGCCAUUUUUGGAGCUUGUAAUUUAACACAUGUCAAAGCCCCUUAGAAACCUAACGUUAGCAACACAUAUCUUAAAUUACAACUGCACCUUGGUUUUCUUUCUUUUAUCUUCCUACGUUGUCUUACAGAGACCUUCUCUGUCUGUUAAUCCUCAGCAUGCUUGGAACAUGAGUUUUUUAUUAACUUUCGGAAAAUUAGGGGCUCUACAGAAAUAUUGUAAGACAAGAUAUCCUCAGCCAGGGUGUACAUUUAAAUGGCCAUUGUUUUAAGGCACAUACCAGAAGGUGAAGGGGUAGAAUUCCCAGUUUCAGUGCAGAACAAAGUUGUCACUCUACAUCCACAAUGUGAUAUGCUGACAAUCAAUCACACCCGACACCAAGGACAAAACCUACAAUUCUUGAGAAGUUCCUCCUACAGCUCGGAGCUCGGAGCGGCAGCGGCAGCUUUGACAGCGGCAGUGGCGGCCUGGCCUCGGAGCUGGGACAGCGGCGACCAGAACUCGGAGCUGGGGCACGUUCCGGCGGCAGCGGCCACUCGACCCGACCGCGGGCCCAGGGGACGACAGCGGCGGCUGGGACAGCAGCAGUGGCCUCGGCACAGAGGGAGAAUAAGAAGGGAUGAGACAAAGACUGAAGACUUUUGCCUUCCACCACAGUGAGGAGGUGUCUGUUGAACUCACUGUGGUGGAUGUUAAUUUGUGUUUAUUGUGUGUUUUGUAAUUUUUACUAUAUGUUGGACUGCAAGGCAACAACAUUUUGUUCAGACCGCAAGGUCUGAAUGACAAUAAAGGCUACUUGUGUUACUUGUGUAUGAGUGUCUCCAGCGAGGUAGAUAGUAGCUCAGAACCGCUCUCUGGUUUGAUAGGACUGUUCAGUUGCCUGAUUACAGCUGGGGAGAAAUAAUCCCUGAAUCUGGAGGUGUGAGUGUACCUCUUCUGUACCUCUUGCCUGAUGGGAGAGGGGAGAAGAGGUUGUGACCAGGGUGAAACUUGUCCUUGAUCAGGCUGCUGGCCUUGCCGAGGCAGCGUGAUGUGUAAAUGGGGUCAAUGGAAGGGAGGUAGGUUUAUGUGAUGGUCUGGGCUUAGUCCACAAUUCUUUGCAAUUUCUUUGAUGAAGGAAUUAGAUGAUGUCAGAUUUGCAGGUUUCUCUGAUUGUAAAACGGAAUAAAUACGUCUCUGGGAAUAAAAAGGCCAACGGUAUUUGUAGACAUAUGCCCAGGUAAUCUCAGACACAGAUGGGAUCAUAAAUAGUUACAUAUAUAUAGGAUGUGGGUUGAAUGGCCAAAAAAUCAACCGGUUCUCAACUGUCAGUGCUGUGUAAGGGGGGCAUCCACUAACUAAAGUGUUUAAGCAUGCAGUCCUCUGACAGAUUUCAGGAUUGAUUGAACACCAGACCUAAAUUUACGAGGAGGGCAGUGGUCAAGCAGGUGGCAUGAAAUCCAUUUGAAGUUGUAAUUUACAGGAACAGGUGACGCAACUUGCCGCAAUAAAUAAUAAAUAAUUUGAUCAGUGCAUGUGCUAAGUUUGCAGGACAGCAGCGAGGACUGAGUGUCUUCUGCUUGUAACAUGUCUCAUAACCUGCAGAGUGUGGCUGGGAUCAAUUACAUUGCCCUAUAAUCUGUCAUUUUAAGUUUCCUACAUUACAUCAGGCAGCACACUUCCAAAGUAUUUCAUUGGCUGUGAUUCCCUGUGCGACACCUUAAGCAUGUGAAUGGUGCCAUAUAAAUAUAUAUAUAUAUAUAUAUAUAUAUAAAAUCCUUUCUAUAUUUAUAAAACCAGGAUUGGAGCUAAAAAGGAAGACAUAAAUAUUGGAAAUCUGUAACAGAUAAUUCUCUUUAAAGAAGUUUAUGUAAUUUCCUGCAUUGAUGAUCUACUGUGUCGUUCUCGUAGAAACAAGGAACUGCAGAUGCAGGUUUACGAAAAAAAAGACACAGGCUGCUGGAGUAACUCAGGCAGCAUGCCUGGAGAACAAGGAUAGGUGACGUUUUAGAAACAUAGAAACAUAGGUGCAGGAAUAGGUGCUUUGAGCCAGCACCGCCAUUUAAUAUGAUCAUGUCGGAUCAUCUACGUCACCUGGCGACAACCUGCGUUAACCUGGCGACAAUCUACAUUAACCUGGUUACGCUCAUUGGCGUCAAACCCACUGUCGCCGACUGUCUCCGAAUUUUUUUUUGACAUGUUGAAAAUCCAGCGGCGACCAGAAAGACGCUACAACUCUUUGGGCGACUGAGGAGACGACUCACAACCAUACAGGCGACACCCCAGCGACCAUGUGGUGACCGCCUAGUCGCCUGUAGUCGUCUAAAUAAUCGCCAGUGGGACAGGCCCUUAACUCUCUCUUGAAAACUGAAUUCUGAAGAAGGGUUCCGACCCGAAAUGUUACCUAUCCACGUUCUCCAGGAAUGCUGUUGACCUGUUGAGUUACUCCAGCACUUUGUAUAAUUCCAGUAAUGUGUGAUUUAUAACUUUUCAAGCUUUGUGACAUAAUUUACUAAUUUGGAUGUGA